GUGCACUGAACAGAGGCAGCAAGUGAGCAGAACAACUCAUCAUGACGGCUUUUUGUCCUUGUCUCCAUGCAAGCCAGGUGUUAUUUCUGUGGUUUCGGACGUUGGUAUUGAUGCACGGUUUUUUAAAAGGGGAGGCUAAAGUCCCAGAGUUUGGUAGACUGCACCUCUCCAGAUGAGAUUUUAAGAGCCCCCGAUUUUCACACAUGGGGAGAGUGAUUGCCCUCACAAACUCUUCCUCCUCAUUGUGGUUUCUAGGUUUUCACUUUGUCAGACAUUUUGAGUUUCGAUCACAAACACUCCACGUUCACAUCACCCAUGCAUGCUGCCCACCCGUAUCCACAAGGCUGCUGUGUCUACUCUGCUCCUGUUUUCCAAAGCACCCCUUCCAUCAGGAAAUGUGCCUUCCAUUCCUAGGGAUGUCAUGAUUCCCAGCUUUCAUAUCUCCUCACAGAGGAGGUUCCCAAAUUACUCUGGGUUCUCAGUCCAGAAGUUGAGCCUUUAAAACCCUUUUCUGUCAUAUGGUCAGUCCGUUGCAGGGUGCAGCCCCUCAGCAGCCAAGAUUCCCUGUGGAUAGCUCUUCAAUCUGAUUGCCUGGGCUUUCUCCAUCAUGAAACCUUUCAUCUCCUUGGUCCUUGUCACACACCCUGAACCCCAAAAUAGAAAAGCCACAACAGAAUGAAGUAGAUGAGAAACAAUCUCCUUGUUUAUAAUUCCGUUUAUUUCCUCACAUACCAGCCAAGCUUCUCAGUCAGGCAGACACAAUAGAUGGAAUGGCAAGGGAAGUGAAGAGUGGAGGCUGCAUCCCUUCAGCCGCCAGCUGAUGUUCUGCUUAUUUCGCAUACCGGAACUCCCAGGCGUCCUCAAACCACAAUCACAGUUGUUGGUUCCAGAAACAUCUUCUUUGGAAAAACAUGUGACAUCAGUUUCCUCAGAGUCUUCCGGACAAUCCAGUCACACAGAACUGACAAAACCUUGUCAGGUGAGAAGAUAAGGAUCUUCUUCAAUACAGAAUAUGUCAACAUCUCCUUCUGAAUAGUUCCGUUUAUUUGCUCACAUACCAGCCAAGCUUCUCAGUCAGCAGGCACAAUAGACUGAAUAGGAAGGGAAGUGAAGAGUGAAGUCUGGAUCCGUUUAGCCUCCAGCUGAUGUUCUGCUUAUUUCCUGUACUGGAACUCUCAGAAGUCCUCAAACCACAAUCACAGUUGUUGGUUCCAGAAACAUCUUCUUUGGAAAAACAUGUGACAUCAGUUUCCUCAGAGUCUCCCGGACAAUCCAGUCACGCAGAACUGACAAAACCUUGUCCAGUAAGAAGGUAAGAAUCUUCUUCAAUAGAGAAUACGUCAACGUCUCCGUGAACGAAGAGAUCUGCUGGUUCCAAGGACUUGUCGUGGAUUUCUGUCCUAGAUACUUUCUUCCGUAAUUCAAGAUAAAGAAAAUUACAAUCUCUGCUGUCCAUUCCAUCGCUUUUCCCUUCAGAAUCAUAAUCAGAGAAUCCUUGCAGAACGUCGUGAGUGUGCUCUCAGCUGCAAUCACCAGAAGGACUCUUCACACUCGGUGAGUCCUCCUCAUUUUAUAGAAGCCAAAGCAGUGACGUAUGCUCACCCCUCCCGCCCCCAGGAGAGAGGUUGCUGGCCAAUGAGCUUGAGCUUCGUCAUCCUUCCAAGCCCCACCCAGUUCCUUUGCUUCCCUUUCACCAACUUUGACUGAAAUGAAUAGGUUACAACCUUUAGCUUUCUGCCCCUUGGAAAACGGAAGCAUUUAGACAUCCGUAUUAAUAUUUGGAUCUAGAGUGUUCGUGUUUUAGCACUUCCUUUUUUGAAAGGAGAAGCAGACGUGUUGUGUUUUUAGGAACACUUCCAAGAAGUUUCUCCUCCUCUAUGAUGAAACCAACACAAGAAAGCCAAAAGGGCGUUUAACCCCUUGAAGCACUGAGAGUUUCCCUGCUGAUAUUCUUAGACUGUUCUUUUUCUAAAACGAGAAAGAGGUAAGUUCUCUUUUUUUUUUUACACUGCCCAAAACUCUCUCUGCUCAGUGCUGGGCACUGGAAAACAAUGGCCCUCUCUCUGGAAACCACUAUCUGCCAUCUCAAGGGCCCACUACAGGUCUGCCCAGCAUUUUCAUCCCUUCCUCAAGUCUGGUGCCCAGGACCCUCCUCUGCUCUGACAGCCAGGCAGCAGCACUCAAACUCCCCUCCCCUCUUAGCCUUCAUACCUUCAGCUGCACUUCUGCCUCUGCAGUGUCAGGAUGACCUCCCCUUCCUCCUGUCCUUCCUCAUUCUUAAGACUUCCUACCCCUUCUGGAUUAAUUUAUGGAAAACCUAAAUAAUCUCUUUCAAAUUUUAGCCCACUUUUUACAUGUAGAUUGUUUUAUAAGAUGAAUUUUAACAAACCUUUUCUAAGUUGUUCAACCAUUUUCUUUUGUCUUUUUGUUAUUUUAUUUCCUGAAUUUAAAAUAUUUGAAAACCUCUAAACUUGACAAAACUAAUUUUUUCAUAAAAGCUAUGUUCUCAUGUCCUUUUAUAAACUUUGACUUAAAAUAUAUUUUACUUGUUCAGUCAGAUUUGUGUGUGAAAAUUUUUAAGUAGCUUUAGAUACAAAUAUUAAUUAUAAUGGUAACUCUUAAGUAUGCAUUUUUAGUAAACCACUUAGGAGACAACCAAUUUUAAUUAUGUCCUUGAUGUAGAGCUUAAAGAAAAAGAUGGAGCUGUAGAAAACAUCUUAGUCUUGAAAUAUCUUACUCUUCCCAGUAUAAGGGGGGGCAUGGCCCUAUUUCACAGGUGCCCAGGCCUUAGCUAGAAAUGGAUGGUUCCAAGACAUGUCAAAAAACUGUUUGAAAGGUUUUAGAAGUUGUUAAUGACAUGAAAAUAUUUAGUAAAGGCAGUAUUUGAUCUGUCUAAUUUGGAUCCAAUAUCUAAACUCUGAAGACAUAUUUAUUUUAUUUUGCUAAUUUUAAAAGUGGCUUUAUUUUUUAAAAUAAUGUUUAUGUUUCUUUCAAUAGUGUGUGGAAUAUAUGUGGUUUUUGGUUAUGUGGAUAAAAGUUCCUUAGUGGUAAUUUCUGAGAUUUUGAGGCAUCUGUCUCCUGAGCAGUGUAUAAUAUACCCAAUAUGUCAUCAUUUAUUCCUCAUCCCCCUCCCAACCUUUCCCCGAGUCCCCAAGUCCAUUAUAUCAUUCUUAUGCCUUUGCAUUCUCAUAGCUUAACUCUCAUUUAAAAGUGAAAACAUUCAAUAUUUGAUUUGCCAUUCCUCAGUUACUUCACUUAGAAUAAUGGCUUCCAGUUCCAUCCAACUUGUUGCAAAGGACAUUAUUUUGUUCCUUUUUAUUAUCAAGUAUUAUUCCAUGGUGUACCACAUUUGCUUUAUCCACUCGUUCGUUGAUGGGCACUUAAGUUGGUCCCAUAUCACUGCAAUUGCGAAUCGGCUGCUAUAAACAUCCAUAUUCUUGUGUCUUUUUUAUGGAAUAACUUCUUUUCCUUUGGGUAGAUAGCCAGUAAUGGGAUUGCUGGAAUGAAUGGUCUACUUUUAGUUCUUUAAGGAAUCCCCAUACUGUUUACCAUAGUGGUCGGACUAGUUUAAAUUCCCACUAGCAGUGUCAAAGUGCUCCCUUUUGACCACAUCUAUGCCAACAUCUAUUGUUUUCUGACUUUUAAAUUAUGGGCUUCUAGCAAGAUUAAGAUAGCAUCUCAUUGUGGUUUUGUUGUGGGAUUUAGGAGGAUGAGAGAGAGGCUUUGGGUUAAAACAGGAGAAUCUUUUAUUGAGUGCUCUCAGGCCCAGCAGACUCACGUCCAAAGACAGGGCCUGGAACAAAGACAGCACUUGACUUUUAUACACACUUCACAAAAGGGGGUGGGCCAGCUUGAAGCAAGCUUACAGUGGUGUGAAAGCAGGGAUACAGAGGCAGGAAAAAGACAGUUAAUCAAAUUGUAACAGGUUCAUAACUCAGGAUUGCACAUAACUGUUGCUAUGCAACCCAGAUGUCUAUUAUCUAGGUUUUGCUCUAAAGAGGCUUGCAUUGGUUUAUCUUCACUAUGGUGCCUAGAGAGCUGUAGUUCAGGCCUGCUCAGGCUUCUCAUGACCUUUGCCAUACUUCUUAGAUAAAACAGAAUACUUGAAGUUACUAGUUAAAGAGAACAAGAAUCUAUAAACUCAUACCAUAAAACAAAGGAAAAUUUGUUUUUCUUCUCCCUACAUUGAAGGAGUGCUGGAAGAGUCUCCAGAAUACAAUAAAUAAUAUUAUCAAGACUUUUCCUGGGUCUGGGCUGUGCCUGUUGCUGCCUCUGGGACAAGUUAGCUUAAUACAAGAAAGCUUAUUUCCCUUUCUUUUUAAUUUUAUUUUUCUUUAAUUUCCCACCUCAGUUUUACUUUGCAUUUCCCUGAGAAUUUUUAAUAAGUAAAAUACUUAGAAAUAUACUUAACCAAGUAGGUUAAUGUAAGUUUCCUACAAGGAAAACUACAAAAUAGUGCUGAAAGAAAUCACAGUUGACACAAACAAAUGGGAACACAUUAUAAGCUUAUGAAUAGGUAGAAUCAAUAUUGUGAAAGUGACCAUACUCUCCAAAGCCAUCUACAGAGCAGUAGAAUUCUCAUCAAAAUAUCAUCAUUCUCCUUCCCAGAACUAGAAAAAAGAAUCCUAAAAUUUAUACAAAACCAAAAACGUGACCGCAUAUCCAAAGCAAUACUUUGCAAAAAGAACAAAUCUGAAGGCAGGCUUUAAAUUAUACUACAAGGCUACAAUCACCAAAAUAGCAUGAUACUGGUAUAAAAUAUGCACAUAGAGCAAUAGAACAGAAUAGAGAACCCAGAAAUAAAGCCAAAUGCUUACAGACAACUAAUCUUCAACAAAGUACACAAAAACAUUAAUUGGGGAAAGGAUACUUUAUUCAAUAAAUGGUGCAGGAAGUAUAAAAAUAGGCACAUAGAGCAAUGGAACAGAAUAGAGAACCCAGAAAUAAAGCCAAAUGCUUACAGACAACUAAUCUUCAACAAAGUAUGCAAAAACACUAAUUGGGGAAAGGACACUUUAUUCAAUAAAUGGUGCAGGAAGUAUAAAAAUAGGCACAUAGAGCAAUGGAACAGAAUAGAGAACCGAGAAACAAAGCCCGGUACUUUCAGUCACCUGAUCUUUAACAAAGCAUAUAAAAACUUCCAUCUAAGACCUGAAAGUCUAAAAAUGCUACAAGAUAGCAUCCAAAAAGCUUUUCUAGACAUUGGCUUAGGCCAAGUAGUCAUGACUAAUGCCCCAAAAGCAAACGCAAAAAUAUAAAAAUAGAAUAAGAUCAAUAGGACCUAAUGAAACCGAAAAUCUUCUGCAAGGCAGAAGAAAUAUCAGCAGGGUAAACACACAACCCACAGUAUAGGAAACAGUAGUCACAAACUAGGCAUCUGACAAAGGACUAAUGUCCAGACUCCAAAGGAACUGAAAGAAAUCAGCAAGAAGAAAAGGUGCCAUUUACCACCUUCCUGACUCAUUGGCCAGAACCAAUGUUAGUGGAAUUAACAUAUGCCCCACCCCAAGUGACUUCUAAAGGGCUAACUCACCACAAGGGAGUCAGAGCAGAUCUUGGACUGAGACCUACAGGACACAGGUGGCUCACCAGGAGAAAGGCAUAGCAGAACCUGGACUGAGACCUACGGGAGACAGAUGCUGCCAUGGGGUUGUAGCCCCACAACUUGCCAGUCUGUAUGCUUCCCUAGAGGUUUGAGCAGCGGAGUACUAAAGAAGCAAGCCACACCCCCACUCCACCUCCUGUGAGGGGGACAAGGAAACUUUUCCCAUUUCAACUGGUGGCUCGUCUGGGAUCUCGGAAGAUCAUCCUGGCCUGCUAAGACCCAUCCUGUGCUUAUAAAAACCCCAAGACCCUAGCAGUCAGACACACAGGAGGCUUGACGUCGAGAGGAGCACAUCAGCGGAGGAACACACAGGCGGCUGGACAUGAAGAGGAACAUGACAACAGGCACCAGCACACCAGCAGGGCACCGACUUAUAGAACGAUGUGGAUUUUGCCUGGGGCAGUCAGAGGAGAGCCAGGGCUGCUGAACGGCCCCAAUCCAGGGAGAAACCAAUCUCCUUUCUGGCUCCCCCAUCUGCUGAGAGCUACUUCCACUCAAUAAAACCUUGCACUCAUUCUCCACGUCCACGUGUGACCUGAUUCUUCUGGAAUGCCAAGGCAAGAACCCUAGGAUACAGAAAGCCCUCUGUCCUUGUGAUAAGGAAUGUGUCUAAUUGAGCUAGUUACCACAAGUUGCCUAUAAAUGGCAAAACUAAAAGACCACACGACCACUGGGGCUUCAGGAACUGUAAACAUCCACCCCUACACACUGCCAGUAUGAGAAAAAUUUGCUGAUAUGUUUUCUGCUGACCUGAUGACAAUGUUCCUAUGGUCACACUAACCACUGCUGGGUAAUUUUCAUCAUGACUCUCGUUUUCAUCUGCUGAAACCAGCCUCCCCAAGAAAGACAACUAUUUUCAAACUGAGGAAAUAAAGUGUUACUAAACCACAGUGUUCUCUCAUGGCUGUUCCUGGAGUUCUUCAAAACACUUGAUAUUAUAAAAUAGAAUUAUUACAGAUCACUGUAUGUUAUGGAUUUAGUCAAAAUGAUAAUUUAAAAUAUGGUUUAAAAUAAAAAACUUUAUUUUCCAAAGAAGAUAGUUUUUUAAACAAGAAUAUCCAAUAAAGACAGUAUGAGGUCAGCUGACUUUAGUGUUGGUGUAUGUGUAUGUGUGUGUGUG
Molecule: long non-coding RNA, 6725 nt
Filed under: Homo sapiens (human)
Lineage: Eukaryota; Metazoa; Chordata; Mammalia; Primates; Hominidae
Description: HSALNT0260062
Source: RNAcentral